RNAcentral lists this ribosomal RNA (358 nucleotides) under uncultured bacterium. RNAcentral's name for it is "bacterial SSU rRNA". It matches the Rfam family "Bacterial small subunit ribosomal RNA", at positions 29 to 416 of the family's 1533-position model. The record is from RNAcentral.
AGCGAACGCUGGCGGCAGGCCUAACACAUGCAAGUCGAGCGCCCAGCAAUGGGAGCGGCAGACGGGAUAGUAACACGUGGGAACGUACCUUUCAGUUCGGAACAACCCAGGGAAACUUGGGCUAAUACCGAAUACGUCCGUAAGGAGAAAGAUUUAUCGCUGAAAGAUCGGCCCGCGUCUGAUUAGCUAGUUGGUGAGGUAAUGGCUCACCAAGGCGACGAUCAGUAGCNGGUCUGAGAGGAUGAUCAGCAUCACUGGGACUGAGACACGGCCCAGACUCCUACGGGAGGCAGCAGUGGGGAAUUUUGGACAAUGGGCGCAAGCCUGAUCCAGCCAUGCCGCGUGAGUGAAGAAGGCC